UAGGGAAUCUUCCGCAAUGGACGCAAGUCUGACGGAGCAACGCCGCGUGAGUGAAGAAGGAUUUCGGUUCGUAAAACCCUGUUGUUAGAGAAGAACAGCGCAUAGAGUAACUGUUAUGCGUGUGACGGUAUCUAACCAGAAAGCCACGGCUAACUACGUGCCAGCAGCCGCGGUAAUACGGAGGUGGCAAGCGUUUUCCGGAUUUAUUGGGCGUAAAGCGAGCGCAGGGGGUCAAUUAAGUCGGAUGUAAAAGCCCCCGGCUCAACCGGGGAGGGUAGUUGGAAACUGGUUGCCUUGAGUGGAGAAGGGGAGAGUGAAAUUCCAUGUGUAGCGGUGAAAUGCGUAGAUAUAUGGGGGAACACAAGUGGCGAAGACGACUCUCUGGUCUGUACCUGACGCUGAGGCUCGAAAGCGUGGGUAGAAAACAGG
RNAcentral lists this ribosomal RNA (429 nucleotides) under Bacteroidota bacterium. RNAcentral's name for it is "Bacteroidetes bacterium partial 16S ribosomal RNA". It matches the Rfam family "Bacterial small subunit ribosomal RNA", at positions 355 to 776 of the family's 1533-position model. The record is from RNAcentral. Lineage: Bacteria; Pseudomonadati; Bacteroidota.